CGGGGUGAGUAACGCGUGGGUAACCUACCCUGUACACACGGAUAACAUACCGAAAGGUAUGCUAAUACAGGAUAAUAUAUUUGAGAGGCAUCUCUUGAAUAUCAAAGGUGAGCCAGUACAGGAUGGACCCGCGUCUGAUUAGCUAGUUGGUGAGGUAACGGCUUACCAAGGCGACGAUCAGUAGCCGACCUGAGAGGGUGAUCGGCCACAUUGGAACUGAGACACGGUCCAA
RNAcentral lists this ribosomal RNA (232 nucleotides) under uncultured bacterium. RNAcentral's name for it is "partial 16S ribosomal RNA". It matches the Rfam family "Bacterial small subunit ribosomal RNA", at positions 104 to 334 of the family's 1533-position model. The record is from RNAcentral.